This 22-nucleotide microRNA is filed under the name Drosophila ananassae. Its description in RNAcentral is "Dan-Mir-986_5p (mature (guide))". RNAcentral also lists the same sequence under 4 other names. The record is from RNAcentral. Lineage: Eukaryota; Metazoa; Arthropoda; Insecta; Diptera; Drosophilidae.
UCUCGAAUAGCGUUGUGACUGA